UUGGGUCCCAGUUAAGGACAUGGAAAUGUGCAUUCUGAAAUCUGGGAUUUCAGAAUUACUAUGGAACACUGACUGUUAUGUGCCUCCUGUUCAUCCCUUUUGAAUGGGAGCAUUUAUUGCAGUUUUCCUAUCCUCAUAUGACUAUUGGAUGUUGUGUUUGUGUUACAGAUGACUUGACUGUAUUUCACAGGUCUUCAUAUCAAGAGGAACCCACACUCAAGGAAGUACGCCUGAAGAGCUUCAUCUGCAGCUAGACCUCAUUUAGGAACCUCUCACCUCAGUCCAGCACAGAUUCCCAUCUCCACUACUGUUCAUUCAUGUUUGCUCUGCAAGGAUCUAUCUGUCCAUCUCUGCCUAGGAAAUGACUAUUCUGAAUUCAAGGCACUCACUGAACAUGUGCUAGAUGAGAACUCACCAUGGAUGAAGCACUGGGUACUGGACAAGGGGCAAGAUCAGCGAGGAGGAAAAAGCUGGAAGACAGAAGGCAGCGUAUCUUCUGAUGACCACUCCAAAUGGAAAUAUCAUUUCCAAAAUAGACUGUAAGCUCCAUGAGAGCAGUAACAGGGUCUGACUUGUCCACUGCUGGAUCCCUAGUUGUGCUUGGUACAAAGUAGCAUAGCAAUUAUUGAACUCUUCCAAUAAUUGCUACUAUGUAGCUCAAUAGUUUUUUUUCAGUGCAUAAAUACAUGUGACAGAUAUUCUUUUAUUUAUUUUUUUGAGACAGAGUCUCACUCUGUCGCCAGGCUAGAGUAGAGAAGCACGAUCUCAGCUUACUGCAACCUCUGCCUCCCGGGUUCAAGCGAUUCUCCUGCCUCAGCCUCCCAAAUAGCUGGGACUACAGGCGCAUGCCACCACGCCCAGCUAAUUUUUGUAUUUUUUAGUAGAGACGGGGUUUCACCAUAUUGGCCAGGCUGGUCUUGAUCUCUUGACCUCGUUAUCUGCCCGCCUCGGCCUCCCAAAAUGCUGGGAUUACAGGUGUGAGCCACCGCGCCCAGCCCUUCAUGUGACGGAUAUUCUUAAACUAUCUUCCCAUCUCCUACUGGAGUUACAAAUGCAUGGAUCUAGACUUCUUAAAAGACUGGACAUUCCUUAGGGCAGGGGUUGUAACUUAAGUCGUGUGUGCAUUCUUUAUAAUGAAGCAUUUUACAAAGUGGUUUCACAUACAUUACUGCUUCCGUUUCUCAUUACAGCCCCAUUAAUAUUCCCCACCUGAUGAGGAAACUUUCUUCAUUCUCCUUCCUGCUUCCUCUUCUCUCUCCUCUUCCUCUAGAAUGCGUGUAUGGUCUAUGUUCCUUCUGUCUCUAAUCCAGAAAGAGAUUUAGAAUAACUAAAUGCAGAGUCAAAGAUUAUGUCCAAAUAAAGUUAGAGUUUGUGUGUGUGUGAGACAGUGUUUUUAGUUAAAUGUCAAUAUUUAAAAUAUACUAUGACUUUUAUACCAUA
This 1440-nucleotide long non-coding RNA is filed under the name Homo sapiens (human). Its description in RNAcentral is "HSALNT0291621". Lineage: Eukaryota; Metazoa; Chordata; Mammalia; Primates; Hominidae. The record is from RNAcentral.